UAAAGCAGAACUGAAUGAGUCAGAUUCCAAAUUGUGAAAAGAUUACAUGAAUUUAAGGAUAUGAACCUAUUAUUUUCUACUGAUUCAGAUUAUUGAAGCAAGAAUAAAAUUUAUUUACCAUCGCUUGUUUCUUAGAAUCGACACAAUUUUUAUUUUGCAUGAAGAUCUGCAGUCUACUUAUGAGAUUAAUAAGUCUUUACAUAAAAAAUUCUCAUUCUAUUAAGAAGAGAAAGAGCCUAGAAGAGGAUUUUCUAUGAUCUACAAGAGGAUUCUCUGGAAAAUGAACCUCUAAGGUGACCCAUAGGAGGAUUUCCUAUGAAGAUCCAGAUGAGGAUCCUCUAAGAAGGCCAAGACAACAGAAUCCUCUACCAAGCGGUAGAAGAGGACCUUCUAACAAAACCAUAAAAGGAGGAAGAUCCCCUAAAAAGACUCUGCAAGAGAAUCCCUUGACAAGUCCCAAAAGUGGAUCCUCUAACAAGACCUACAAAAGGAUCCCCUAAAAAGACCCAGAAGAGGAACCACUUUCAAGCCUGACCCUAGCCCAAAACAUUCGUCUCCAAAAUCAACUCUAACAACAGCGUUAUUUCUAGAGGGACUGAUAGUUCCAAGAUAUCCGUGUCACCGCACCUAAGUUGCCCGUAGACUUGGAAGACACUGCCGUUGCCCUCUUGAGCGCCGGACUCCAAGACCGAAGCAAGAGUCUCCAGCUUUUUCCUCCUCUUCUCUCGCCUUCUCCUCAGCUCCGCGUUCCCUUGCUCUUCUCCCCCAAUCGUCAACUUCUCCAACCUCUUCAGCACCUCCUGCAUAGCCGCCUCCCGCUUCUUCUUCCGCCUCUCCUCUCGCUCUCGGUCCUGUUCGUCGAUCGGCACCUGGGAGACUGGCUUGGAAGGUAUCCCGUUCAGCCCGAUCCCCUCGGAGCGCGACUUCAGAGCCUCCAGCUCCUCCCGGAGCCUCUGAGCCGACAGGUUCGAAUGCUCGCACUCCUUCUUCAGCCUUUCAACUUCCUCCAGGUAUCCCACCUGCCUGGUCUCCUCCUCGUCCACUUUCUCCGGCUGGGCAGGGAUCUCUUUCAACGUGGACUGAUCGCUCGAUUCCAACAGGGAACGAAGACGCUGCAGCUCCAACUGGUACUGUCUCAGCAGCGCGUCUUUGGGGUCCUCGUUCACCACCGGCUUGUUCUUGAUGCAUCUGGCCCUGGCCGCGUAUCGCAACGUGCUCAGAGUCUCCUCGGAAUCUACGUCGCUGGGGCUCACGCAGGCGAUCAUCAAGGUCCUGGCGUUGCCGCCGAGGCUGUCCCUUAGCAGCCUGGUCAGCUUGCUGUCCCUGAAAACGCAUUUCAAACCAGCUCUUAAUCAGCGCUAUCCAGGGCCUAGAACAUGGCGACCUUCGAGCUACCUGUAGGGCACGUGACGCCCGUGUCCAGCAGCAAGCGCGCUGAUGACGUUCCCCAGCGCGGACAAGCUGAGAUUGAUGCUGGCUGCCUCCUUCAGCCUGUCUCCGCUGGCCCCGGUCCUGGCCUGCCUCUCAGACCCCGCUAAAUCCACCAGGUGAAGCCUGCCUCUUUUCACCGUGUUCUCCGUCUGGCUGCCAUCGUUGAUGGCCAACGUCUCCAAGGACAGCGUCAGGACCGCGUGGCUCCUCGAGCUAGCGGCGUUCAUCUUGGUGGCCGCCAGGGCCCGUCUCUUGUCGCCCUGCUCCACCAACCGGGCGCAUUCCACCGCGUCCUUGACCGUGACCUCUCUCAGCCCGCCGGCCACAUCUCCAGGUAGCUAAGCAGAGCCAGGUACCUCAUGUCCGAGCUGGCCGUCGACGUAGCCUCGAAGAUGUGGUCCAGCGCGCGCUCGAUGAAGCCACGCAUCGUGUGCGAUUUCCCGCAGCCGGUUUGCCCGUAGGCGAACACCGUGCCAUUGUAACCGUCGAGCAGGGCCUCCACUAUCACCGAGCCCACGUUCUCGUAUACGGACUCGGUGGUGGCCUCCGGGCCGAACGCCGCGUCGAACUGGUACACCUUGCCGCUUCCGGCGGCCUCCAAGGUGCAGCAUUUCGUCACCGCGUCGGUCGUUAUCACGUUCUAAGGACAUUCGGGGAACCGUAAGUUAGAGUGCGGUUUUUUGGGCUGGAUGGUAGGUUAGCGGGUCGAGUACAGCGAUCUGGACAGUGAAUGCACGCGUAGGGUACUGUGGCGAACGGGUAAGGUGAGAGCAGGUAUUACUGUAAUGUCUCUCUAAUCGACGCCCAGAUUUGGACAGAGAUUUGGCCCGGGAAAAUGGACAAUUUGGGAA
Megalopta genalis is the source of this 2282-nucleotide non-coding RNA. The record is from RefSeq and is a predicted model, not a curated record. NCBI's taxonomy places the organism in Eukaryota, Metazoa, Arthropoda, Insecta, Hymenoptera, Halictidae.